Molecule: long non-coding RNA, 792 nt
Filed under: Physcomitrium patens
Lineage: Eukaryota; Viridiplantae; Streptophyta; Bryopsida; Funariales; Funariaceae
Description: long non-coding RNA (PPAT_LNC002828)
Source: RNAcentral
CCAAAUCUACUCUUAUAUCAUGUAAAAAAGACCUACUGAGCUAUGAUCGCACACCCAAAACCCCCAUUUGCCUUCUUCACGGAAGAAUUGUCAGCCGCCUCACGGCUGCCACAAAGUUCCUGCCAUCACCAACACGCCCACGUAUCACUGCUGUCGCUCCCCCAGGCCUACCCACUCGUCCCAUACCCUCCACCAUGUGUAAACACCACCUCUUCUCAAACUAUUCUACACAUCACUACACAUGUAUGUGACACCACUCACGUCAGCUCCAGUUGGCGUCUCACCCUACCCGUAUGGCUCCGCACCCACUGGCAGCGUACACCCCUCGCCAUCCUGGUAAACCACUCGAUUCUUGAAACUCGCUGCCGGAACGCUGAACAUCCCUGCCAAACGAUCGUACACCUCCUCAUACGACUUGAAGUUCGCCAGGUCCAGCGUCCGCCCCACCUCAUCGCCCUCUCUGAACACCUUGCAGUGCUGGAGCGCCUCGUUCGACCCCUUCUCCUUCUCCAACCGCUGCUCCUUAAACCACUUCAAGCUCCCCACCUCCGUCCCAAUCGACAGCUCUGGCCACGGCCCGCCCUCGUUCUGCCGGUACCUUGACAUCGCCCCAUCCCCCGUCCCUCCCGACGCGCCGUUCAGGUCCGCAUUGAAUCUCCUCAUCCUGUCCUUGUGCUCCAACGUGUUAUCCGACGACGAGUAACUCGUCGGCGAAACUCGCAGCCCCUCCUGGAACAGAGAAGACCCCUCCACAGAGCUGCUCGCCGAUGCCACGCACUGCUCCUGCGCAGC